Molecule: non-coding RNA, 52 nt
Organism: Micromonospora rifamycinica
Lineage: Bacteria; Bacillati; Actinomycetota; Actinomycetes; Micromonosporales; Micromonosporaceae
Source: Rfam
GCGGACGUAGCGCAGCUGGUAGCGCAUCACCUUGCCAAGGUGAGGGUCGCGG